UACUUAGUUAAUUAUUACUAAUCUGUUUGUUCUCAAAUUUGUGUAAUAACAAUUUUAUUCUCACUUUUGUUUUUUAAUUAGACGUGUCUUGUCAUGUCAAAAUUACAUAUUACUAUAUUAAAAAAGUUGUAAGUGCCCACCUGUUAGUAUCCCACUUCAAACUACAUGCCAAAAAAAGUCAAAGAAGUCAGUUGAGAACUAGUGUUACAUGGAAAAAAAAAAUAAACACCCGCAUGGGGCAUUCUGG
RNAcentral lists this long non-coding RNA (247 nucleotides) under Setaria viridis. RNAcentral describes it as "long non-coding RNA (SVIR_LNC003976)". The record is from RNAcentral. Lineage: Eukaryota; Viridiplantae; Streptophyta; Magnoliopsida; Poales; Poaceae.